This 253-nucleotide ribosomal RNA is filed under the name uncultured bacterium. RNAcentral's name for it is "partial 16S ribosomal RNA". It matches the Rfam family "Bacterial small subunit ribosomal RNA", at positions 524 to 776 of the family's 1533-position model. The record is from RNAcentral.
AACGUAGGUGGCAAGCGUUAUCCGGAUUUACUGGGCGUAAAGCGUGUGCAGGCGGGGGUACAAGUGGUGUAUGAAAUUUCCCAGCUUAACUGGGAAGGGUUAUGCCAGACUGUACUUCUGGAGUGCGAGAGAGGGGCGUGGAAUUCCGGGUGUAGUGGUGAAAUGCGUAGAGAUGUGGAGGAACGCCAGUGGCGAAGGCGACUCUUUGGCCUGUAACUGACGCUGAGGCGCGAAAGCGUGGGGAGCAAACAGG